GAUGAACGCUGGCGGCGUGCCUAAUACAUGCAAGUCGAGCGAACGGACGAGAAGCUUGCUUCUCUGAUGUUAGCGGCGGACGGGUGAGUAACACGUGGAUAACCUACCUAUAAGACUGGGAUAACUUCGGGAAACCGGGGCUAAUACCGGAUGAUAUUUUGAACCGCAUGGUUCAAAAGUGAAAGACGGUCUUGCUGUCACUUAUAGAUGGAUCCGCGCUGCAUUAGCUAGUUGGUAAGGUAACGGCUUACCAAGGCAACGAUGCAUAGCCGACCUGAGAGGGUGAUCGCCCACACUGGAACUGAGACACGGUCCAGACUCCUACGGGAGGCAGCAGUAGGGAAUCUUCCGCAAUGGGCGAAAGCCUGACGGAGCAACGCCGCGUGAGUGAUGAAGGUCUUCGGAUCGUAAAACUCUGUUAUUAGGGAAGAACAUAUGUGUAAGUAACUGUGCACAUCUUGACGGUUCCUAAUCAGAAAGCCACGGCUAACUACGUG
RNAcentral lists this ribosomal RNA (497 nucleotides) under uncultured bacterium. RNAcentral describes it as "partial 16S ribosomal RNA". It matches the Rfam family "Bacterial small subunit ribosomal RNA", at positions 28 to 507 of the family's 1533-position model. The record is from RNAcentral.